This 495-nucleotide ribosomal RNA is filed under the name Sulfobacillus sp. enrichment culture clone Q18-9. Its description in RNAcentral is "bacterial SSU rRNA". It matches the Rfam family "Bacterial small subunit ribosomal RNA", at positions 505 to 1000 of the family's 1533-position model. Lineage: Bacteria; Bacillati; Bacillota; Clostridia; Eubacteriales; Clostridiales Family XVII. Incertae Sedis. The record is from RNAcentral.
GUGCCAGCCGCCGCGGUAAGACGUAGGGGGCAAGCGUUGUCCGGAAUUACUGGGCGUAAAGGGCGUGUAGGCGGUGCGAUACGUAGCGGUUUUAAGCCUCCGGCUCACCCGGAGGAGGGCGGCUAAACGGUCGCGCUAGAGGGCAGGAGAGGUGCGUGGAAUUCCUGGUGGAGCGGUGAAAUGCGUAGAGAUCAGGAAGAACACCCGUGGCGAAGGCGGCGCACUGGCCUGGCCCUGACGCUGAGGCGCGACAGCGUGGGGAGCGAACGGGAUUAGAUACCCCGGUAGUCCACGCCGUAAACGAUGGGUACUUGGUGUCGCCCGGGUCCACCGGGCGGUGCCGGAGCUAACGCACUAAGUACCCCGCCUGGGGAGUACGGCCGCAAGGUUGAAACUCAAAGGAAUUGACGGGGGCCCGCACAAGCAGUGGAGCAUGUGGUUUAAUUCGACGCAACGCGCAGAACCUUACCAGGCCUUGACGGUCGCCGCAACCCC